UGACCUGUCUCAGGUUGUCUAAG
RNAcentral lists this unclassified non-coding RNA (23 nucleotides) under Mus musculus (house mouse). RNAcentral describes it as "oocyte_clustered_small_RNA2007". Lineage: Eukaryota; Metazoa; Chordata; Mammalia; Rodentia; Muridae. The record is from RNAcentral.